This is an RNA transcript of Cavia porcellus (domestic guinea pig), 17736 nucleotides long. It is a transcript of the gene named angiotensin II receptor type 1, with no coding region annotated. The record is from RefSeq and is marked provisional. NCBI's taxonomy places the organism in Eukaryota, Metazoa, Chordata, Mammalia, Rodentia, Caviidae. The transcript is spliced from 3 exons.
CGGGAACCUCGGGCGGCAGCCGGCCACACAGCACCUGGGCGGACCGCAGCUCCGCUCCGCUCUGCCGGGCCGGGGCACCCCAUGGGGAGCGGCCCGAGCGGCCGACAGCCAGCCGGGGCGCAGGGCUGGGACUCCGGGCGGCGGACGUGGGCGCACACCCUGGGCGCGGAUUUGGUGUGUGAUAGUUUGAUCUGAAAUGGCUGGGUUUUUAUCUCAUUAAGUUUUGGAAGCAUCCCAGAAAGUGACCACAAGCUCCUCUCCUACCAGCUUAAGCAAAAAAGUUAGUUACUGUUCCCAACAGAUGGAGCCAAAGAAAAGACAACCUGUAUGUUGUGAUGAGGACUCAUCCAAUCCCCUGCUCCCCACAACCUCUGUUACAGAUGUCCCCAAGAGUAAGAGAUGAGGAGUAACAGAAGCAGAAUGAAAAAAAAAAUUCAACUUCCUUCAAGGGAACAAAACUAUAGUGAGGAUGUUCUGUGACCUUGAAAAUAAUGUGAUUUCUGAUGAAAAGAAUGCCAUUAUGCUUCCUUCCCUCCAUCAUGCAAUAAAUUAACAUUGUUUUGUGAAAUAAGUAUAUGUGAAGCUGAAAUAAGUAUAUGUGAACUUGGAUAAAUGAGUAUCUAAAUACAAACAUUAGGAGGUACAUUAAUAUCAGAGACAUUUGCCAUAAAAACCUGGUUUACCCCUGUAUUUUCAAAACAUACAUGCCCUUACCACUAGAAAUAGUUGUUUUGUCAAUAGCUAUGACAUUGGUAGCUCUUUAUAUGUAAUAACUUACUUGACUAAAUGUUCAAACAUCUCUAAGCCAUAGAAAGUUUGUGACUUGAACAACCUUCAAACCACUGAUAUCCAGAUUUGGAUCCAGCAUAUUUUUUAACCUAGAUCACAGCUGUACACUUAGUCACUAUACAACAAUGGUUUUAAACCCCAAGCUUUAUUAUAUUAAAAUAUUUUUUCAGCAAAUUGAGCUAAAUUGUGUUCAGAGAAUCAGUUGGGAGAGCCAAAGAUAGAAAAGGACUAAGACUUCAGCAGGUCUGUGUCCCUUUGCAGGGCUUUCUGUCCCUGACCUCUUGUUGUUUCUCUAGAGCUGCUCAUGGCAUCCCCUUCCUUCUGCCCUAAUUUCACAACAAGUCUACUUGCCUAAUCUACAAACUACAAGGAGGCUCUGAAAAAAUGUUAAGCUGACAGAAAGAUAGGAGAUUCAAUUCCAAGUUGUUAGCUGGCUCUCUAUAAAGAAUUAUAUUCCAAGAAGUACUUCUCUGGUAGAAUUCCAGUUCCUAGGGCUAGUUAAUAGUACAACUGUGGCCAUUUAUUUAUAACUACUCAGGAAUGUCUUUCCCAGCACUGCUCAUAUCAUUGAAAGUAUAUAAAAGCAGCCUUGUGAGGAACUAAAACGUUCUGAAGAUACACAAUACAUAACCUUAAACAAGAAGUUUUCUCACACAAAAGCAUGAAAACUGAUUCAAACUGACCUGAACUCCUAUAUGGGUGAGUGAGUGCCUCUGAUUUCAGGAGAUAUGUACAUACCUCUUUUGUAAUGCCAAUGUUUUCUUGGAAAUUGCUACAUAAAGGGCAAACUGCAAUGUCUAGGCUCUCUCCUCGGAAUCAAACCUUUCGGGUUGAGUGUCAGUGUCUGGUCACUGUUCUCUUCCCUACUCACUGCAAAAUACAGCAAUUCUAAUUUUAAAUUCCAAUAGUACUGGGAGAUGAGAUUAGUUAAAAGAAUGCCUGCAAUUUAAUCAGUAUGCCAUCCCUAAUUUAAGAAAAAAACUAGUUAAUCACAACUUCUUUCAAAUUCCUUUCCCACAGAUUUUUCUCCUAAAGAAAAUACUAUGCAGCAUUUUAGAGAAAAUAAACUUCUCUAAAUCAGAAGUUUAUAAUAAUGAAAGGGUUCAAGCAUUUUAGGCAAGAGUAUGUUUUUUCUUUAAAUUUCCUGAAUCUGAACAGAUUCUUGAUUUCAAUUAUUAACUGCCCCAAAAAUGAUUUAUCUCUGCUUUUCAAUACAAUAGUUAUCCUCAAAGAGUCACAAAUGUAAAUCAUUAUUCAGAUCAGAAAUAAUUAAAUACAUGAGACAUAAUCUAAAUGGCAUAGUCUUCUAAAACAUGUAUAAAAAUGUCCAAUAGAAGAAUGAAUUAUUUUGAAACUCCCUAAUUUGUGAUCUAGUGUUUAGGUUGAAAACUUCAAAAGAACAGUUCAUGAAGGCUGUGUCACACGUGAACCUGUGUGUGUCUCACAACACUUGGACAUAAGCAAGAUUAAGGUCACUGUAUUAUCUGACCCCUUGUAAAUGAAGACAAGAAAGAUCAGGAAAAAACAUUACUAAUUGGACACUUUCUGGUGUCUGGCAUUAUUCAAGCAAUUUGUCAAGCAACACAAAACAAACAUAUCCCCAAGGUCUCUUAUUGCCUCUACUGUUUUCAUAGAAAAUGAGACUAAAUUGCCCACAUUGCUAGCUAGGGUCAAGACCAAAAUUUGGGACUGACUUCCAUUCCUUGCUUCCAACCAGUUCUGUCUCAGUGGUAACCCACCAGAUUCCUCAGUGCCUAAGAGCUUGUUGUUACUGCUCAACUGCCAAAACAGCACCAUCUUUUUCAUAUAAGUGAACCCGAUGCUAGCAUUUAAUUACAGGUUUAUUCUGAGAUUGUAUGCCGGUACAAGCUGCAUCAUUUGAAUAACAGAAGAGUCCAGAGCUCUGAAAGGGAUGUUCCAGCGAGAGGAAAGCAGAUAGUUUUCUGUCUCAUUUCAGUGAGGAAAAUUGCUAAUUCAUAUGCCACCAGCCAUAGGCAGAAAUACAACCAGAAAUGAAGAAAACUUAACUGCUUUAAAUAAUGUGGUCUGCAGUACAAAUUACGGCACUGUAUGUUGGUUUCCUUUUGCUGCCGAGUUGAUAAUUUGGAUUAUGUAGACAAGCAAUGCAAGACAUUGCUAAAAUUAUUCUUAAAUCUCAGCUCACGGUCUCUGUAAAACACUAGGCAAUUUGCCUGAAAACACACAGAAAAGAUAUUUUAAAAGGAUUGGGAUGGCUUAUUUUCCCCUCUGUUAAAUAUUAGCCUUUGAAAUGAACCCAGCUGAUCUGCCAAAUAACACUUGCAAAUUGUUGUGUUUUAAUAAAGUGACAGACUGAGAGGGAAGCCACACUAGAUCCGCUUAUGCUUCCAGAGGCGUCACAGGCCAGGAACAUUAUGUAAUAAUGCCUUUUAAAAGAGGGGAGGCUCUUAUCAUUACACCUUGCCUGGCAACAAAUGUAGCCACUUACUCCAAAUGCAGGUGUAAUUAGAAUCUAUGAAAUCUAGCGUCAGAAUCCGAACCCCUGGUGCAGUACUCAGUAAAUUAUAGCUUUUAUGUCUGUGAUAUUUUCUACCAUUUCAUUUAAAUAUGUGAAUAUAUGAAUGCGUGAUACUUCAGGAGGUCUGCUCCAUGUUCUAUGGGAAGGUUUUUAUCAUUUCUAAUAAGAUGCUCUUGUAAAUGAAAAACCUCAUUUUCAGGCUUCUGGAAGGUUCGGGACCUGGGUUGCUGCUGGCAGAGGGCAAACCCCAGUGGACUACUCCGUUGAAAAUCCAGAGUGAGCAGUGAGCACAGAGAAAACCUGGGGGACCCAACAUACAAUGGGUACCACCAGAAAGUGUCAUGACUCUUAAAAUUUAACCAGGAAAGCCCAGCUUCAUGCAUUAGUUUGCAAAAUGUUAGCAAAUGUUAGUCUCGUAAAGUAAGCCUGAAAGGACAUUAAUUUUUAAACUAAUACAGUCUAACCAAUAAAAGAAGGUUUUACUUAAAAGCCUUCCUGAAAGUGAUAAAAUUGCUGUUUAAGUGAGCUAAGUAAGAAUUAAUUGUUACUCUAUUUUUCUUUCUUUGCAAAAGGAAAAUAAAUGUUUUAAAAUUUAAAGUUGAAACAGAGAUCUUAAAUGUAUGGGGAGGUUAUUAUGCACAAAGGUGUUGUCCCCAGAUUUGUAACUGGCCUUUGACCUCUGUUUAGGACUGUGAAGAUGUGCUCAGCUGCCUCCUAGAAAUAUUAGAGGAGUCCCAGUCUCUUUCCAAAUACAAGAGUUCCUGUUAGGUUUUCUUCAUUUCUUAAAGUGUUAUGAUUUUUAUUUCCUGGUUAUUAUCCCUUAAACUGAGAGGUGAACGUCAGCCAGUGAGUUAAGAUUUUUAAAAAUAGGUAAUACAGACCUCUAGUGGUUGAAGGUUUGAGAGCCUUGGCAAGGAAAGGCAAUUGUGCAGGCAAGCCCUGCAUUUUAAACAGAACCGUUGUUAGUUAAAAUUACUUACAUGUCAAAAUUCACAUAUUUCAUAGAAACAAAGAGAAGCUAGAAUAUGAGAAUGGCUGGGCAUGCUGUUUUCUUUCAAAUGCUGUAUUCUUUCAGAUGCUAAUUCCUCUCAAACAAGCAAGGACCCUUUGGUUAAACAUCCAGUGAUAUUUUUUCCAUAAGUGGAGCUGACAAAUACUAUGUUAUGUGAAAUAUAUUUUAUUUUCGUUUGCCCUUUAUGGCUUUUGCUCCGUAUUCUAAAAUCUCUCCCUGAAAGCUGGGUCUGCAGAAGCGCCGUUGCCUGUUCUGACCUCUUCCAUCCCUGGGCAGCCACACUCCAGCGAUACGAGCUCAUGUCCUAAGUGUGGCCUCUCCAGGUUACAGAAUUCAAUGGACACAUUUAAGUAGCUACUAACUAUACCUCCAGACCAGUGCAUCUCAAAAUUUAAUGGACACCCAGAUCACCCGGAGAAUCUUCUUAGAGUACAGAGUCUGACUCCCGAGGUUUGAGGUGAGGUUUGAGCUGAGAUUGCUUUGGUCUCAGAUUCUGCUGCAGUGACUCAUUCAGGGCCACCCUGAGAUCAGCAAGCAGGCUGGGUAACAUGGCACUUCCUUUUGUUAAUUAUAUUUUUCCACUGUUACUGAUUGCUUCUUUUUUCUUGUAAGAUUUAAUGAUGUGUCUUAAAAUUCAACUUUUGAAUUUAUAAAACAUUGAAAGGACUCUUUCACUUAACUAUGUAAAAAUAUCUCUGGGAGCUUGUUAUUGAAGUCUUCAAAAGCUGUUUUAAUGUCUUAAAAAUGAAUUCACAGACACUACCUUAGCUUGAUGAAAUCGUAGUGAUCGUGAGCAUCUCUCUGAGCACUCAAGGUUUGGGGGCACUUUAACCACAGUUAAAUAUUCGAAUGACCAUUGGAGAGAGUGGAUGAUACCAUGUUUUAUGCAAGUCAUGAUGUGCAGAAAUAUGACUGGGGCCCAAAGAACACCCGCAUCAUAGCAUCAAGCAGAAUUUUAAAAACACAGCUAAAUCCAUCAAGGUCAAAAGAUCAGAAUAAACAUAAAAAAACAAUUUUUCAGGUCAAAUGUAUUAUAAUUCCAUCAUCUAAAUAAAUUCUUAGCAUAGCAUGCCAUCAACUCUGAUUUUGAAAUUCAUCUUUUAGAACUUAUGUCAUGGGGUAGUCUUUAAAAGCCUCUUACAAACUUUUAACAUCUAGUUUCAAAUCAAAAAUAAUAUAUUAACAAGCUGUAGCAUAGAGGGAGUACAUAAAUUAUCAUCAUUGCCCUGCGUGAAUAGUAAUUCACAGGUUUGGCUCAGACACGAGUUAGAUGAAAUAAUUAACUAUGUACAGUACUUAACAGUAUAAAAGUAAUUAAUCUAGCUGCCUCAUACUGGUUUGGCCUAAAUAAACAUGCAGUAAAAAAGUCAUAGGAUUUUAUUAUUUUUUUCACUCAUGUUAUUGCAUUAGUAAUGUAGAAUGUUAACAUCAGAAGAAUCAUUCCUUUAAUGAAAAAUUUUUUCAUUUCAAGUGGUAAUGUACUGCUUGUAUGAUGAAUGAAUUCCAAAUAUUUAUAAUUGUGGGCAGAUGUUCUCAAUUAAUAAUUUUAUGCAUUCUUCCUAUUGCACAGUUUACUGAAAAUGAUUGUUUUAAAAUUAAGGUAUAAAUGAGAAAAAUGAGAUUUUUAUUACUCCAAAUACAUAGAUUUCGUUAAUGGUUCUGCAAUCCUAUGUUGAUGAAGCCUUGGCAAAAUAUUUCAGACAAAUUUGGGUUUUGUUCAUGGGUUCUAGGUAGAGGGAAGUUGUUUGGCCUAGGCUUUUUAAUAACAGAUCGAAAGGGAAGGGCAAGGUCAUCAGCCUGCAAGAAUUCAAUAGACUACCAUUGCCUAGCAAGAGGAAAAGGAUCAGGCAGCUGGCACUUGUGCUCAUCCUCCAAGCAGCCUUCCAAGUAGCUGGGGUUACAGGUGUGUGCCGCCACACCCGGCUUUGGUCCUCCAUUGAAAUUUAAUUCAUUUCUACAGACAGUCCUUAGCCUGAUGUUAAGGAUUGUAGCAUGUUUUCCCAUAAGGGAUUCCAUUGAUUUUUCAUUGUAGCAUUGUCUCUAUAUCAUAAGUGGACAAAGAAGCAGCAGCGGCUCAGUAGUUCUUCUAAAAUCAAACUGUAGAUAAAUGUAGGGUCAAAAUUCAAAGCCAAUUACUUCUGCUUCCAAUCCUGAUGGUGUAACAAAAACUGGGCUUACCUUCUGAACAAAACAAUUUUAAAAUCCAGACAUUCUGUAUAUAUGAAACAGUGGCUUCAUGAUAGUGGAAAUCAGAUAACAAAGGGCAGUGAUCCCUGCGAGAUAGGAAGAGAGGAGCCUUAAGAUCAUGCCAAUUCUCUGUCUGGCAGAUGUUUCAGUAUAUACAGGAAAGGUGAGCCCGAGCAGGGCAUUUCAUCUCCCUCAAUUGAGGAGAUGGAGGUGAGAGUCCAAUGAGACUAAAAUUCACAGGGCAGAGUACCAGAGAAGGGACAGCUACUUGAAAAAGGGCCUUGAGAUCAGGAAAGGAUACAUAAGGAUGGAUCCUUAUGUUUGGAUACAUCUGAGUAGCUCAGAUGCAUCAAAGGAAUAGAAAUAGUAGUCCCAAAUAUUGUCUCAAGCCAGAAAGCAAUUUUUUUCACACCAGCAAAAGUGGAAAAUGUUAUGAUUCCUAGGCAUCAGGUAGCACAGUCAUAUGGGUUUCACCUCAGAACAGGAAAAAAAAAUCACUCCUAGACUAAAUACUGCUCUGAUCUCAGGUAACAAAACAUAAAACCUAGGCUCAAAAGAAUCAGACUUUGCAUUUAACUCAGCUGCUUCCCAGAACAAACCUGGAGAAUUUUUAUGGAAAACUUCCAAUGCCCAAAUAAAGAAAAAUUCACAGUGUUUGACAUUCAACAUAAAACUAACAGGCAUGCAAAGAAGCAAGAAAGUGUUAGCCAUUAAAAAAUGAAAAGGAACAGACCCAGUAAUAACAGAGUAGAGUUGUUAAACAAGGACAUUAAAUGGUUAUUAUAACAGUAUUUCAAAUGUUUAAGAAGCUAGAUGAAAGUUGGAACAUAAUGAGGUAGAAACAUGGAAGAUGUACAAGACUGACAUAGAACUUCUAGAGAUGAAAACUUCACUGUCCCAGAUGAAAACUCAAGUGGAACUUAAGGUGCUAAGAUCCUACUUGCUCUGCUGCCCCUACAAUAUUCUUUCCUGAAUGAUGAGGUUGAUCCCAACAACUGCUUAGUAUUUGCUUAAUUCUAAAAUGCUCAGAUACCAGCUUCCUUUGCACCGAGGGUUACCCACUGUACAAUUCCAUCACCACCUCACUCAGCCCCUCCUGGCCUGCCCCGAGGGCAUGGACAGCACCCUAGACUGGCAUCCCUGAGAUUGCUCUGGAAAGUAGUCAUCAACAGGCCUCAGCAUGGCUCCUUCUGAGUCAGUUCUAGGAAAAUUUGCAUCAUCAGACACUGCCUUCCAUCUGUGUUUUCUGGCUCCCCUGAACACCCUCGUUGUAAAAGGCGUGAAAUGUUAUUUCCUCACAUGUAACAGAAUUGAUUGGGAAGUUAGCAUUUUGCCAGGUCCUGGCUCAUUCUUAUCCAGGGUACUACAAACUGUAUAAAAUCACAAACUAUUUUCUUCCAGCCAACUAUGCAGUGAACCAAACUGUCAUCCUUCUAUGGAAUUUAAAAUAUCCUCAUGAGAACUAAAGACUUUCUUUCAACAAAGCUGAAAAAGCAGUCACUUAUUUAGAAAUUUUUGGUAGAGCAUGAGUCCCAAAUGAUGUACAUGCUAGCCAAGGGUUACAGUUAAUCAGAAACACUCCCUACACCUCCAGUGCUAACCCUGUGUAACUCCUUCAGUGUAUCUGUCCCAUCAGUGGGCAAAAGACAUGUUCUUUUCUGAACUCUGUUUUCACGUGUAUUCUCAAAUCUGCCGUGCGUGAAUUUACAAAAUAUAUUAGUGUCAAAAAUAUAAAUGUAGCCUUGUAACAUAAGUGUGUAGAUAAUUCUAUACUUGGAGCAUAAAAGUUCACUUAGAAGCAUUUUACUUGAUAAUGAAACUUUCGUGUAUAGCCAUCUCAUCCUGAACCUGUACCUGAUCUUGUCUGAUAAUGAAACUUUCAAACAUAAAUAUUGUAGCACUUACUACAAAUAUUUUAAAGUUGCCCUUUCUCAUUAGAUAUAUAACCAAGGUCAGUGAGUUGACGUGGUCCUAGGAAAUAGGACCUAGGAAUUUAUGACUGAUAACCUUUACACACUGAAUGAUAUUUGUUAAAUAAUGUCAAGAUAAUAUGCAGGAAUACCAUGGAUUCUAUGUGGUAUUCACCCAUGUGAGAUCAUCACGUGCAAAGAGCUACUUUACUGCAAAGUAGCUCUAAGAAAAGAGCUUAAUUGCCUUAACUGUCUUUCACUGUACAGAAAAAAUGAGAAAAGAAAAAUAAAUUCCUUGCAGCAAUACUGAAAGGGGCGAUGAUGGUAUAAAGUCCAGGCUGACCCCUAAGACCUUUCUAGAACACAAGCCAAGCUUUUGUUGUGCACACGCAGAUGAGGCAGCCUGCCAGGGUGAUGGGCAACACUUCAGCCCAUCGUAUCUCUAUGUGUUUCCCACUAUCUUUAGCUCCUGCACCAUGGGGAGUUAGUGGGUGUGGAAAUGGAAGAAGAGAUGCCUAAAUUCUUGAAGUCUAGUUCACUAUUUAGUAUCAUUUCAAGGUACUGAUGUGGGACGUAGAGCAUCUUGCCAUGGCUUCUGUUUGCUUGGCUGUAAAAUUAAGUGGUUGGCUAAGAUGCUAAGCUACAAGUCAGCAACCACAAGACCAACUCUGAUGUGAUCUGCAGUUCCCUUUAGUUCCACAGUGUUGCUUUCUCAUUUGCAUUAAAAACAUUUUAAAUCGAGAUGUUUCACAUAACAUACUGAAGUUUCUGCUUAUCUUUUAAAAAAUCAGCUGGGCACCCCUUACCCCCAGCACAGUUCCCACAUUUGGCUGAUGCUGCAAAGAAAAUGCCUGUGUGCCUCUGAGAAAAAAACAGUGACCCCUCCAUUCUCCAGCAUGGCUACUUCAACCAUUUCUCUUUUUCCCAGGGCCCCUAAAUAUUUGAUUAUGUGAAUCCUGGAGCACUGAAUUUCUGAACACCUUUCAGCAAUAAAAUUCUGUGCAUCUCUGACUUAGGUUGUUUCCAGGGAAGCAAAAAACUAUAGGCUAAAAUAGAUUUCACUUGACUAAUCUGACAGUCAAAAUAACAUUGGUCAUAUAAAAAUUGUAUGUAUUUACUAAGACAGAAGGUAUAUAUUUCUUGUAAGAAUAGAAGCAACACAUUCAAUUCAUAUAGUUUAGAAAUCUCUGUGACUUCCUGAUGCACAUCAAGAGAAAGCUAUUCUCCAAACGUAAUUGAAAGGCUGUAAAUUGCAGAAUGACUAUUUGUGUGUGUGUACUGUGCUAAGGAUCGGACCCAGGGCCUUAACAUUCAGCAGCAUCUCCAAGCCUUUUUCAGUUUUUUUUUUCUUUUUUUUAAUUUUUGAGACAGAGUCUCACUGAGUCAAGUUUGCUCAGGGCUCAAACUUGCAGACCUCCCACCUCACCCUCCUGGAGUGCUGGAAUUACAGAUUUGUGCCACCACAACCAGUGCAGAAUGACUUUUAUGUCAAGAGAAUACCUUCAUUUUUGGUAUAGCAUCAAGUAUGUAAUAUAGAGAGAAAACAGUUUUAAUCUGAUUUUUCUCUUGUACUGAGAUAGGCAGAUUUCUAAAACAUAUUUUCUCUGAAUUGGAACCCCUUCACAGCAAAAUAUUUAAAAUUAUUAGCAUAUUAUAUUAUUCUCCACAAAAUUCUGAUGAACUCACAAAUAUGCUUUCCCUAUUCUGGGUUAAAAAAAAUGACCUAAUUUAUUUCUCCAUUGUCUUAUAUAGCAAUAUAGUAAUACCAAAAAGGUUAUUAGCAAAAACAACAUGUUGUAUAAUUAUUAAAGAGUGAACUCUUGAGAUCAUAUUAAAGAACAGCAAUAACCACAUGUUCAUUCAGAUAACUCAAGAAAGAGACUUAUAUGAAUACUAAGGGAGCUGUAGGCACAGUUUUUUUUUCUGCACCCUGAAUUUUAAAAGAAUUUUUGUCACUUCAUUAGUUAAAGCAUGAUUUGGCAACCAAUGGUCUAUGGUGUGAUUUAUUUUAUUUUAUUUUAUUGCUUCUCUAAAUUAAUCUGGAAAUCACUUCCAUUUUAGAUACUCGUUUUCACUCUUUGAAAGCUAAAUCUUUACAGGAUUACCAACAGAUUAUAUUACCAUAUUGUUAUGUCAAAAGGGCUUCUAACAACCUGCCAGUCUAUUACUUAGUCAUGUGUAAUAAUGUGAGAAAUCGCAUCUGUAAGGUAAAAUCUUACCGAGAUAUUUUAGAACAUGUGUAGGGAUAUACGAGUAUUUAUUGAAAAUAUAGGGACAAUGAUAGUAACAGGUCACAGUUACUGAGUAUGUAAUAUACUCUUUUUCCUCGUGUUUUAUUUAACCCUCAUAUUAACUGUACAAAGUUGGUUUCAAUUCCAUUUUAAAAAUAAGGAAACCAAGGCCAAAAAGUGAGUAAAUUAGUUUAUCACAUGAUUAAUCAGAGAUGGAGCCAGGACCUCACCCCAGACCUUUGUGAACACAAAGCUUGUGGAAGGAUUGUUUCCUAUAAGCAGACAGCUGAUGAACUGCUAACAGUAGCUUGCAUUCCCUUUUAAGCUUCUAAGUACAGAAUAUAUAUCUCUUGCUAUGCAAAGCCCAUUGUAGUGACUUAUUAAACUUACUUUUAUUGUUAGGUAGUUUAUCCAUCUGAAUACAUACGUGGAGAGGAAAAUCAUUUUAAACACGGGUUCUUACAGUAUUCUUCCAAGGUCGAGGCAGAGACUUAUCAGUCUCAUUCCCAUUUCUCAGAUCAAAGUCCAGUGAAGAUUUAAUGAGUUGCUUUUGGUCUUAAUUUCUGAAAGGCAAAGAAAGCGUCCCUGAGACCAUCAUCAUUAAUUCUAAACCAAUGUUUGUUCUAAGUCUUUUUAAUAUAUAUUUUCUACAAUCCAAGUACAAUUUUUAGUUUUUGUUUUUAUUUUUCAUUAGUACAUGUUUGCAAUACCUAAUGAUUUUAUUUCUCAGGGGGAGUUAGUACACGCACAUAACACAUGUUAGUUUUUACCCCCUUCCUCUUCUCUCUUCCCCCCUCCAUCAUCUCUUGAUCCCCUUCACAUUUGAGAAAGAUCUAUCACCAUAUUUCUUAUUAUCUUACAUUUUAGUUUUUCUUUCUUUAUAUAUUGAUUUUCUCAUAUGAGAGAAGCCAUGCGAUAUUUAAGCCUGUUAAUCCUACAAUAAACGGAAAUCCCACUCUAUAAAUUCUUAAAUUAUGUUGCUUUUUCAUUUAAUGCUUUUAGUUUUACAUAUUAAGAUUUGACAUCAGCAUUCCCCAUAAUCUGUUCACUCUUAAUUUUGAGUGUUUCUGUCGAACUGCUCCUUUAUGUUUGUACUUUAUAGGCUUUUUCCUCAUUUCUGUUUUACCCUGAUUAUCCAGGACAGACUGUGUGCAUCUUUUGAAAGCUCUGAUGUUCUCAGUGAAAAGACCUUGUAAAUGACCUUGUUUAUCUCCCACCGAGUUGCAUAUCACGACUUCAAAUGCUUCACUAAAAUGUUACUCGCUUGGCAUCAGUAUACAGAAAAGGCUGCACUCUCCGAUAAGAUGUUCAGUAGGGUUUUCGUAGUAAGAGAAUAGAGUUCUUAAUAGGAAAAGGAGGGAACUGUAAUUUCCUCUGACUUAGCUGAUCUUUCAAACUUCAUGGUGAUUUUUUUCUAGAGCUACCCUACAAGAAAUUUGAAGAGAAUGUAGCGGAAGAACCAAGAAACUAUUAAUAUUGUGGCCUUCGAAGUGUGUGUGUUGGGAGGGGGAUUACAAGUAACAGAAAAUCAAGCUAAAUAACUCAGCUCUGGUUGCCAAAUCUCCAGAAAAUGUCAUUUGUGCCUACAUGUGUGCAUCCUUUUUCUUUCCCACAUUUCUCUACUUGGUUUAAUUCUGAACCUUGAUGACAUGUUAUAAAUUUAACAUGCUACUCCGCAGAAAGAAAAAAACUAAUGUAAAUAAAACUGAAUUUAUUUUCAAAAUUGCAAAAAUCAGUUCAGACCCCAAGGUGCAGAUGGGUGCUCUCUCUCUUCCCUCUGGGAUGUAUGUAUGGUGGUGAUGCCACCAGGGGGCAGGGUUUGACUUCCGGAGUAGGCGGCUUCCUCCCUCUGGUGGACAUUUUGGGACCAGCACAGUAGCCAUGGAGCUGAAGUUUCUAGGAUGAAUCCAUUCAGUCUCUCUUCUAGUGUAUUUGUGCAGAUUUCUGGCAUUCUAGAAAAUUCUCAGAAUCUAUCUUUUGUGGGACCUGUAGUUUUCCCUGGAAGACAGUAAAUGAAACAAAGCUACCAAUAAAAUGCAGUGUAUAAUUAAUUCAUGCCAUAUAAAGUAAGAGCUACAAAUUAUCAUAGUUUAAAAAAAAAAAGUAGGGACCAGAGCAGGGUUUCUCAAAGUAGUAUAUUUUGGGCUAGUUAACAUUUUAUCACGCAUGGUAAAAUAGUAUUAUUAAUUGUAAGUAUUAGAAGCCAAUGCCCUCUUUUAAAAAUGAAAAAUGUGUCCACAUAUUGCUAAGUGGCCCUAGAGGGGAAAAAAAAAUCACUGCUGCUUGAGAAGCACUGGGAUAGAGUACUAACAGAAGACAUUACAAAAAUUAAAAUACUAAUAAUAGAAGCUUUGAGAUAUUUCUUAUAGGAUGUUGAAACUGGAAAGACCUGCUCGCUAAGCCAGUUUUUUCAUCUUAAAAAUAGAAAUGACAGUAACUUCCAUCAAAGGGUUCUUAGAAAGAUUAAAGCAAUUAACACAACACUUGACCCACAGUAAAUAUUCAUUUAAUCAUAAAUGAUAAAUGGUACCAUUAGUAUUAAACCAUCAUUUUGUCCUUCCUAGUGUAAAUCCGAUACUGGCAGAAAUAGAGAAAACUAAAAGUUUUACAUUAAACAAGCUUAAUUGACACUUGUAUGUCAGCUUACGCUCAAGUUAUAUAAAUAAAACAUUGACAUUUUUCCCAUUGACAGAACUAAUCACCACAGGGAUCCUCUGCCUUCCUUUACGUGCGGGUCAGAGAGCAGUACCUUCUCCAUCCCCAGAGGCUAACGUGUAGGUAAUGACAAAGAAAUAAACUCUUAAGUACUUGGCGAUUUCUGCAUAUAGAAAUUCUAUGUAAAUAUUUCUCUGAAAGGAAGUCUUGAGAAAGAUAAUUUACUUUCACCCUCUUAAUUUAUUUAAAGACUUCUCCUAUCUUACCGAAGAUAAGAACUAAAAUUAAGUGGGCAGGAAAAAUAAACAAAAGAAUUCAAACAGCCAUGAGCUUCAGCUGGAAUGAAGUAAACUGCAAAGAUUUUGAAAUUGCAAAGGAAUUGGGCUGCAGAAGUUCAGCCAAAAACUGUUUGUUUAUAAAAAACUAGACUGCGUUAGUAUUUCCAUCAUACCAGCUUAUCAUCUGAAAUUUCUGCUGGCUCAAAUGAAACUGUGCUCUUUCUAUUUCCUACUGGCAGGUUUCCUCCCUAACCACAAUUGCUUUCGGGUUGGAAGCUUGCAACUUUGAGGACAGGAACAGAAUCAGCUUAGCUAGCCGGGAGGACAAGAGGAGAGUUUUAAUAUCUUAUGAAGAAAGGGGAGUGCUAGCCAGGACGUUUCAGCACAGUUCAGGAGUUAAUGUGGACAGCUGCUGACUUGAACAGUUUUGUUCUUGUUGAUAAAAGCGAACAUCCAGUGCAGAAAGUGACGGUGAGGAGAAGAGAAAUUCCUGUGCAAAGUUAAAAACAGGAGAAGACGAGAGUCUCGGUAUGGCACACAGCGUUCAGACAUGUCACCUUGUCCUUCCACAGUUGCUACCGUGUGAAUACUGUGUUGCCUCACCACACAACCCUUCUAGGCAGAAAUGCUAUGCAGUGCCACUCCACAAACCAAGAGGUGCAUUGAUUCCACUUUUAGAGGAGGAACCAACUCUCAGAAGGCAGGGAUGGUGCAUUCCCUUAUACAGCUCUCUCGAAAAGAAUUCGUUUUAAACUCCAGCUCAGACCGUGCGCAAAUUCAGGGAGUAUAUUUCCAUUUCCAAUCUGACACACGACAACUGGCAACUCAUUUAUCGCUAAUGACGUUUUCACAGGAAGCAGCAGUCGCUGGUUUCUCAUCUUAUUUUUCAGUUGGCAAAGUGUUGUUUACCUUUUAUUGGCCCAGCAUCCGGGUGCCCCUUAUCACAGACUGUUUAAUUAGAGAUCCCAAGUAACUCAACAUAGAAGAGAAGUGGAGCGCCAAAUAAAACCAGAUAGAAUGGUCAAAUUUUUUAUCGCAAUCACUGGUUGUAGUAUCAUUCUAAUUCAUAUUUUUAAAUUGUAUAGGAUUUAAGAAGACUUAUCAAAGCAGUCGAGUGCAAGCAGCUUUUUCAUAGUAUUUUUCAGCUCCCACAAAGUCCACCUCUUGCUUGAACUCUAGCUUCUUUACUUCCAGCAGUUUCUUAAUCUCUCUUAAAUUUUGCUUGAAGGAGGAAAUAGUCAUUUCCACUAUAGUAUGAAUUCUGUAACACCAAAAAAGCCCAAAGCUCUAGGAUCUCCACAUGCAUCAUCUCAUUUGUUAUGUCCAACAACAUUAUGGGCUAGAUUGAAUAGACAUUUAUUUUCAUCAUCAUCUACCGUGAACAUCAUUAACACUUUGCAGUUGGAAGAAAGGAAUCACAGGUUAUGUGAAAAGUCAGACAGCCCACAAAGAAGCCCAUGAGAAGCAAAUCACGUACUGAAUUCAGUCAGAUCUUUUGGUUCCUGUCACUACUGUUUCUCCAGCACUUUCCCUUCGGCUCUUCCCUGAGUCACUGUGUUCCUUCUCAAGCAGAUCUUAGUUCAAAUGGGGAGACAGAGGUGGUACCCCACUCAUCUCCCAAGGUAGAGAAAUUUUAGAUGCCUGGAGUAGCAAUGAAGAGCAUUUUAUUAGAUGAGAUCUGCUGGACUUAUUGAGCUGUGCCAGACCUAAAUGUGUGAAGGAAACUCAUAGUUUAAUGACUAAUGCCUAAACAGUAGUUAGGAGUUUCUCAUACUUCAACUUCUGAUGCUUUGUGAAGCCAAACUGAAUCACUUUAGCUCAGAGUACUUUUGUUGUGCAUUGGAUUUGAUUGUACCUAUUAAUCAUGAUUAUCAGCAUUUAAACUACACUUGCAAAUCAAGAUGCCUGCAACGCAGUCUUUUUCAAAUAUUUGUAUGCAUCAGAAUCACCUAGAGAGCUCAUUAAGCAUAGCUUGCUGGACCCCACCCACAGAGUUUCAGACUUAGUUCAUCCUGGGUGGAGCCUGACGUUUGCAUUUCUAGCAAACUCUGGAGUGAAGCUGUCCAAACACCAGCAUUUCAGAAGCAUUGCUGAACAGCCCAGUUAGAGACCUUGGUGAAUGAAGCACCCUGAGCUGUGCUGUCCACAACAGCAGCCUCCCUGGUGGACACGAGCCUGGGAUGGUGGCUGUUUAGGUUGUGCUGGAUGCUUGAAUUCUACUCUGUAUUUUGAAUCUCAAUAAUUGAAUCUCAGUCUCAAUAACUGAAUCUCAGUCUCAGUAAUUAAAUAAAUCAAUAAUUUUCAUAUUGAAACAGUAGUUUGGAUAUGUUGGGUUAAAUAAAAUACAUGAUCAAAAUGACUUUCUCUUUAUUAAUGUGGCUACUAGAUGUGUGGCUUGUAUUAUAUUUCUCUGGACAGUACUGACCUGAAGCAUCAAAACAGAGAGUGGUGGGGAUUACAGAUCUCAAAUCUCCAAAUCUUUAAAUAUUCUCAGGGACAAAGAAAACUCUCUGUUUGUUGGAUUUGACCUAAGGGCCCAGUUUGUACCCAAACACUUACUGCCACAAGUACUAGCUGAAGAACCUGUACAACAUGUACCAUUUCAGCUUUUUGUAGUAUUAAUCAAAGCGUCACUAUAAUUCUUAGGAACAGUGUGAUCGUGAAAAAUAUUUCUAACCCUGAGCUAUUACAUGCAUUGCUCUUACCUUUGACUAUAGAUAGAAUGGUUACAUUUCUCAAAGUGCUUUUGAAUCUUCCCAAGAACUUGCUUUGUAACUGUAUCAGUGGUGAGAUAGAAAUGGGGAUGGGUGUUGGUUUUCCCAUUCUAAAUAUUUUGUAAUAUUUAAGGAAUAGCGAAAGAAAGGUGGUGUGGCUGGGUUAGAGAAAGCGGAGAUGGGUUAGAGACCUUGUGGCUGGGUUAGAGACGGCGCGGCAGGUUAGUGCCGAGCAGAUUCUGCCAGGACUCCAGCCCUGUACUUCUCUGCCAGACUAUUCUACUGUGUUUCAAUUUUCACAAUUUUCCUGCUAAAGAAAGUAAAAGAUAAAGCAUGACAGAUACAAGGCUGAGAUUUUAUAUAUAACAUAACUAUGAUAAAGAAUCAAAUGAACAUAAUCUUUAUUGCGUUUUUUCUUAGGAUAAAAGUUCCUUAAUUCUUCAAAAUGUUGACUAACAAUACUUCAAAUACUAAAUGAUGCCUUACUGUGAAGCUCUCUGCUAAUACCCUGCCACACCUGUAUGUUUUCAUCUGACCAGCCAAACCACCCUAACAAGUUAGCUAACCUUUGAAAAGUUGUGUUUUCCCACAAACAGUGUGAGACUGGGUCCAUUUGGUACAAGUUAUUUUAACAAUUUCACAUUGUGCCUCACAUUUCAUUGGACAAUGUGACAUUGAUUGCCUAACUACAAGGCACGCUUUUAAUUUUGAUCUUCAACCAUGAGUCAUUCUGCCUGUGCCAUUUCAGCUUGUGGCAGUGUUACCAGUGACGCCUGCAAGGCUCACUGGCUUUAGCCCUAAAUGGACUGAAACGGGUUAGUCUAGAAAGAACUCAAAAUUUUCACCUUGACUUCAGUAUUGUCAAGCCACAACCAGCAUAUAUCAGAAACAUUUCUUUGAGUUUUAAAAUAAAGAGGAAAAGGACCGGGGAUUUAGCUCAGUGGCUCAAGCAUUUGCCUGGUAAGUGUAAGGUCAUGAGUUUGAUCCCCAAUUCAAUCCCUGGCACCAAAACUAAAUAAAUAAAAUAAAAGGAAAGAAAGGGAAAAAAUCUUAUAACCCUAAUAGUCUUAUAUCGAGUUUCUUUAAUCAUCUUGAUGAAGGGUAAGUCUUUUCAUUUUGUUGUUCAUUUUUAGUGAAAGAUAAAACUAUUUUCAUUUUGUUUUUAGUACAGAAGUAUUAUGGGUGUAUUUUGGUUGGUUGUUUUGUUUUGUUAGUCAGGGUUUCACUAUGUAGUUCAGGCUGGUCUUGAACUUACCACAUAGCCCAUAUGGCCUUGAAUUCAUAGCUGAUCCUCCUACAAGUGUUGGCACAGAGUUCUUGUUUAACAUAAAAUAGUAUUAAAUUGAUGUGAUGGAAAACACAAGAAAAAGUAAAUGUAAAUGGACAACUGAUUUUAUUUGAAGUAUUAUUCUUUUUUUUUUUCUUUUCUUUUUCCAUGCUGGAAUUGAAUUCACAACCUUAUG